RNAcentral lists this ribosomal RNA (253 nucleotides) under uncultured bacterium. RNAcentral describes it as "partial 16S ribosomal RNA". It matches the Rfam family "Bacterial small subunit ribosomal RNA", at positions 524 to 776 of the family's 1533-position model. The record is from RNAcentral.
CACGUAGGGCGCAAGCGUUGUCCGGAAUUAUUGGGCGUAAAGAGCUCGUAGGCGGUCUGUUGCGUCCGCUGUGAAAACUCGGGGCUUAACCCCGAGCCUGCAGUGGAUACGGGCAGACUAGAGGUAGGUAGGGGAGAAUGGAAUUCCCGGUGUAGCGGUGAAAUGCGCAGAUAUCGGGAGGAACACCGGUGGCGAAGGCGGUUCUCUGGGCCUUACCUGACACUGAGGCGCGAAAGCUAGGGGAGCAAACAGG